CCUACGGGUGGCAGCAGUAGGGAAUAUUGCUCAAUGGGGGAAACCCUGAAGCAGCAACGCCGCGUGGAGGAUGAAGGUUUUCUGAUUGUAAACUCCUUUUGUUAGAGAAGAUAAUGACGGUAUCUAACGAAUAAGCACCGGCUAACUCCGUGCCAGCAGCCGCGGUAAUACGGAGGGUGCAAGCGUUACUCGGAAUCACUGGGCGUAAAGAGCGCGUAGGCGGGAUAGCAAGUGAGGUGUGAAAUCCUAGGGCUUAAACAGCGAAGUGCAUUUGAAACUGUUAUUCUAGAGUAUGGGAGAGGUAGGUGGAAUUCUUGGUGUAGGGGUAAAAUCCGUAGAGAUCAAGAGGAAUACUGAGUGCGAAGGCAGCAUGCUAGAACAUAACUGACGCUGAUGCGCGAAAGCGUGGGGAGCAAACAGGAUUAGAUACCCUUGUAGUC
RNAcentral lists this ribosomal RNA (440 nucleotides) under uncultured bacterium. Its description in RNAcentral is "partial 16S ribosomal RNA". It matches the Rfam family "Bacterial small subunit ribosomal RNA", at positions 338 to 795 of the family's 1533-position model. The record is from RNAcentral.